UGGGGAAUCUUGCGCAAUGGGCGAAAGCCUGACGCAGCAACGCCGCGUGGAGGAUGACUGCCUUCGGGUUGUAAACUCCUUUCAGCAGGGACGAAAUUGACGGUACCUGCAGAAGAAGCCCCGGCCAACUACGUGCCAGCAGCCGCGGUAAUACGUAGGGGGCGAGCGUUGUCCGGAAUUAUUGGGCGUAAAGAGCUCGUAGGCGGCUCGAUAAGUCGGGUGUGAAAUCUCUAGGCUCAACCUAGAGCGGCCACUCGAUACUGUCGUGGCUAGAGUCCGGUAGGGGACCACGGAAUUCCUGGUGUAGCGGUGAAAUGCGCAGAUAUCAGGAGGAACACCGGUGGCGAAGGCGGUGGUCUGGGCCGGAACUGACGCUGAGGAGCGAAAGCGUGGGGAGCAAACAGG
This 405-nucleotide ribosomal RNA is filed under the name uncultured bacterium. Its description in RNAcentral is "bacterial SSU rRNA". It matches the Rfam family "Bacterial small subunit ribosomal RNA", at positions 355 to 776 of the family's 1533-position model. The record is from RNAcentral.